AUUGAACGCUGGCGGCAGGCUUAACACAUGCAAGUCGAGCGGGGUGAUGGUGCUUGCACUAUCACUUAGCGGCGGACGGGUGAGUAAUGCUUAGGAAUCUGCCUAUUAGUGGGGGACAACAUCUCGAAAGGGAUGCUAAUACCGCAUACGUCCUACGGGAGAAAGCAGGGGAUCACUUGUGACCUUGCGCUAAUAGAUGAGCCUAAGUCGGAUUAGCUAGUUGGUGGGGUAGAGGCCUACCAAGGCGACGAUCUGUAGCGGGUCUGAGAGGAUGAUCCGCCACACUGGGACUGAGACAAGGCCCAGACUCCUACGGGAGGCAGCAGUGGGGAAUAUUGGACAAUGGGGGGAACCCUGAUCCAGCCAUGCCGCGUGUGUGAAGAAGGCCUUAUGGUUGUAAAGCACUUUAAGCGAGGAGGAGGCUCUUUUGGUUAAUACCCAAGAUGAGUGACGUUACUCGCAGAAUAAGCACCGGCUAACUCUGUGCCAGCAGCCGCGGUAA
Molecule: ribosomal RNA, 502 nt
Filed under: uncultured bacterium
Lineage: Bacteria
Description: partial 16S ribosomal RNA
Rfam family: Bacterial small subunit ribosomal RNA
Source: RNAcentral